GUAGGUGAACCUGCGGAAGGAUCAUUAACACGUAUCCAACGUUAUCAACCAACUCGGUCUCCUGUGUUUUCAAAUUAUCGCCCAUCGAUGAUACUCGCGUAUCGUUCUUGGUCACCGCCGUAGACUACCUCUGGUGUCCGCUUAGGCCUCACUGCUGAAGUCAUGGGCAAACCCUAAACUUACCCCAAUAACCUUCCUUACACUAGUUGUCUAUUUGAUUGUUGUUUAGAGGUCGAAUGGUAAUACAAUCCACCUUUUCACACACGUUUACUUAUCUGAACGUUAAAAUACAACUCUUAGCAAUGGAUAUCUUGGUUCUC
This 320-nucleotide unclassified non-coding RNA is filed under the name rhizosphere metagenome. Its description in RNAcentral is "partial ribosomal RNA internal transcribed spacer region". The record is from RNAcentral.